UCCCUGCAGGUUGUCCUCUUGAUACAUAUGU
RNAcentral lists this non-coding RNA (31 nucleotides) under Mus musculus (house mouse). Lineage: Eukaryota; Metazoa; Chordata; Mammalia; Rodentia; Muridae. The record is from RNAcentral.